UGGGGAAUCUUGCGCAAUGGACGAAAGUCUGACGCAGCGAUCUCGCGUGAAGGAUGAAGCUUUGCGGAGUGUAAACUUCUUUUCUGGGAGAAAACAACUGAUGGUAUCUCAGGAAUAAGGGACGGCUAACUACGUGCCAGCAGCCGCGGUAAUACGUAGGUCCCAAGCGUUAUCCGGAUUUACUGGGCGUAAAGCGUCCGUAGCCGGCUUUGUAAGUCCGCUUUCAAAACCCGAAGCUCAACUUCGGAUC
RNAcentral lists this ribosomal RNA (250 nucleotides) under uncultured bacterium. Its description in RNAcentral is "partial 16S ribosomal RNA". It matches the Rfam family "Bacterial small subunit ribosomal RNA", at positions 355 to 621 of the family's 1533-position model. The record is from RNAcentral.